RNAcentral lists this long non-coding RNA (2465 nucleotides) under Mus musculus (house mouse). Its description in RNAcentral is "Opa interacting protein 5, opposite strand 1". The record is from RNAcentral. Lineage: Eukaryota; Metazoa; Chordata; Mammalia; Rodentia; Muridae.
AGGGGAAGGAGCGAAGAUGGCGGAGUGAGGCGUGCCCCGGGCAGCUGGCCUGCGGGCCCGGGGCAGGCCUCCCGUGAGAAGCGGAGUACUUGUGCUGGACCGUGUGAGGAACCAUAUCACACAAGAUGAAUAUUUUCCUGACCUUAGGUGCUUUUAUAUUCAGCUCAACAUUCUGAACUCAGGACUUGGCACGUAAGUAGAUAGAGAUAAUCAUCCCAAGUCCUGUUGUAGCGGCUUGAAAGGCUCCAUAGAAGCGACAUACUAAACUGUUAAGAGCAACAGAAGAUGAAGAUAAAAAUGAGUACAAGCCAGCUACCAUGGCUCACCUUUAUGCCCAGCUCUUGGGACCUGGGGAACUGAGGAAUUCCUAUGUGGACUGCUCAGUGAGGCGUCCUGGUUCUUCCAUCCUGUUACUUUCCCCAGUGAGAUGCAGAUGUCUUUCGACAGAUUACCUCCAUGGUUUAGGAUGCAGAGACUGCCUUUCUUUUACGUCAGACUCAACACAGGAAAGCCGUGAGGAUGCAGCCGUCCUGUUGACUUCAGCAAGAAAACAAACCAUGGACUUGGGUCUUCUGCAGCUUUUGAAUUGGAAAGACGGUGUUUGCAAGUAGAAGGAAGAUGCUGAAUUUGAAACAAGUGCUUAGGUUCUGUGGCGGAGCUGCUCAUUAAUACAAACCAGGAAAGAAACCAUUCUGCCCAAGUACCCUCACCACCCUCCAGCUCUCAGCAGGAACUGGCCUGAGUGUCAUAAACAGGCGCCACCAUCAGUGUGAAGUUCAGUGCUGACUGAGGACCCGGCAAGGCCCUGCAGCAAGGUGGUUUUGUAGGAUACAGAAGUUCAGACUCAGGCUGUGCUGUGGCUCUGUUUACAACUGCAGAGCUGGAGUUGUUCUUCAGAUGAGUCGGUCAAAAUGUGUCACUUGCCUGAAACUUGAUUCCUGAGGAACAGGAGAAAACUUUCUUCUUCCAAAAAAUAUAUUUAUUUGGAUAAAUGAAUAUUGGUUUGUUAUAAUAGUGAAAGGAACAGAAGUGUAAUCUACUGGCAGAACAUUUACCUGAGAAAAUGGGUUUAAUUGCAGCACUACCAAAAAAAACCUCAUGGUGGUAACAUAAGAAUUUCUUGACUUUGAAAUGCAAGUUACAAAAUGAUUUUGACAAAUGAGAAGUAUUUAUAAUGUCUGAAAGGCCUAAAUAGAUUUCAAAUAAAACUGUUUCACUGGAUUCAGUCCAAUUUACCUGUUAUAUGAUGGAAAACUAGUUCCAAAUUUAACUUUCACCGUGGUCCUUUGCUAUGGAUGUCAACUGGAAUGGUGACUCCUAACCUUCAGAACUGAACUAAAGUUGUCAGUGUGAUGGUUGCUUUCCACUGAAACACAGGAAUCAAAGUAUGUGUUGUAUCCCAAAUAGAAGUGUUCUUUGCCACUUACUAAUAAAGAUGUAAGGUCAGAGUUCUUCCUUCUAGCAUUCUCUUCCUAAUAGUCACCAAAGUCAAAGCAUCAAACGGCAAGACUUGGUGUGUAUUUGGUAGACUCAGGCUUUAUAAGAUACCUUUAAAGGGGCUUGAGAGAUGGCUCAGCAAUUUAGAGUACUGGCUGCUCUUCCAAAGGCCCUGAGUUCAAAUCCCAGCAACCAGAUGGUGGCUCACAACCACCCAUAAUGAGAUCUGACGCCCUCUUCUGGUGUGUCUGAAGACAGCAAAAGCGUACUUAUUUUAUUUAUAAUAAUAAAUAAAUCUUUGGGCCAAAGGGAGCAGGGACUGAACGAGUGGGGCCAGCCAGAGCAAGUGGGGUUAACCAGAGCAAGCAGAGGACCUAAAAUUCAAUUCCCAACAACCACAUGAAGGCUCACAACCAUCUGUUCAGUUACAGUGUACUCAUAUGUAUAAAAUAAAUAAAUCUUUUUUAAAAAAGAUACUUUUAAAGGCAGAAUACAGUUAGGAUUAAUGGUGAUUUUCCAAACAUUUUGACAUCUUUGGUAAUGGUAUGCUGUAUCCUUAAUUUAAAUGUUCUUUUGUGCUUGGAACAUAGCUCUUGGAGAACACUUGGACUCAGGCCAGUCCUCAACACUUGACACCCUAUCCCAAAGAUCAGACAAGAAUUGUGUCAGUGUGUUAUCAGUCUAUAAACAACAUUACUAGUCUGAGCCUAAGCAUCCCUGUAAUGACAAAGAUUAAGAGCGGUAAUCGACUUGAGAGUGGUGCAUUUUCUGCCCUUCAAGCAUAGGUGUCACUGUUCGCUUGCCCUUCCUUGUAUCUUGUAUUGCGCCACCAGUGUAUGAGGUGAUGUUAAAGAGCACCAGUGAAUGUUUAAAGCACUCUAAAAGGCAGCUUCUUAAUCUAUGCAUCUUUGGGAGUUUUGAAGAAAUUUGACUUCUUGGGAAAGGAACUGUUUUUUGAGAGUCUGAAACUGCACCUGUAUGUAUAUAUUUUUAGCAAUAAAGCAUGAGCAGAGAAUGCACUGAAACUU